RNAcentral lists this ribosomal RNA (490 nucleotides) under uncultured bacterium. RNAcentral describes it as "bacterial SSU rRNA". It matches the Rfam family "Bacterial small subunit ribosomal RNA", at positions 10 to 523 of the family's 1533-position model. The record is from RNAcentral.
AGUUUGAUCCUGGCUCAGAACGAACGCUGGCGGCAGGCUUAACACAUGCAAGUCGAACGCUCCGCAAGGAGAGUGGCAGACGGGUGAGUAACGCGUGGGAAUCUACCCAACCCUGCGGAAUAGCUCUGGGAAACUGGAAUUAAUACCGCAUACGCCCUACGGGGGAAAGAUUUAUCGGGGAUGGAUGAGCCCGCGUUGGAUUAGCUAGUUGGUGGGGUAAAGGCCUACCAAGGCGACGAUCCAUAGCUGGUCUGAGAGGAUGAUCAGCCACAUUGGGACUGAGACACGGCCCAAACUCCUACGGGAGGCAGCAGUGGGGAAUAUUGGACAAUGGGCGCAAGCCUGAUCCAGCCAUGCCGCGUGGGUGAAGAAGGCCUUCGGGUUGUAAAGCCCUUUUGUUGGGAAAGAAAAGCAGUCGGUUAAUACCCGAUUGUUCUGACGGUACCCAAAGAAUAAGCACCGGCUAACUUCGUGCCAGCAGCCGCGGUAA